Molecule: ribosomal RNA, 1487 nt
Filed under: uncultured organism
Description: 16S ribosomal RNA
Rfam family: Bacterial small subunit ribosomal RNA
Source: RNAcentral
GGCGGCGUGCCUAAUACAUGCAAGUCGAACGAGUUCUGAUUAUUGAAAGGUGCUUGCAUCUUGAUUUAAUUUUGAACGAGUGGCGGACGGGUGAGUAACACGUGGGUAACCUGCCCUUAAGUGGGGGAUAACAUUUGGAAACAGAAGCUAAUACCGCAUAAAUCCAAGAACCGCAUGGUUCUUGGCUGAAAGAUGGCGUAAGCUAUCGCUUUUGGAUGGACCCGCGGCGUAUUAGCUAGUUGGUGAGGUAACGGCUCACCAAGGCAAUGAUACGUAGCCGAACUGAGAGGUUGAUCGGCCACAUUGGGACUGAGACACGGCCCAAACUCCUACGGGAGGCAGCAGUAGGGAAUCUUCCACAAUGGACGCAAGUCUGAUGGAGCAACGCCGCGUGAGUGAAGAAGGCUUUCGGGUCGUAAAACUCUGUUGUUGGAGAAGAAUGGUCGGCAGAGUAACUGUUGUCGGCGUGACGGUAUCCAACCAGAAAGCCACGGCUAACUACGUGCCAGCAGCCGCGGUAAUACGUAGGUGGCAAGCGUUAUCCGGAUUUAUUGGGCGUAAAGCGAGCGCAGGCGGUUUUUUAAGUCUGAUGUGAAAGCCCUCGGCUUAACCGAGGAAGUGCAUCGGAAACUGGGAAACUUGAGUGCAGAAGAGGACAGUGGAACUCCAUGUGUAGCGGUGAAAUGCGUAGAUAUAUGGAAGAACACCAGUGGCGAAGGCGGCUGUCUGGUCUGUAACUGACGCUGAGGCUCGAAAGCAUGGGUAGCGAACAGGAUUAGAUACCCUGGUAGUCCAUGCCGUAAACGAUGAAUGCUAGGUGUUGGAGGGUUUCCGCCCUUCAGUGCCGCAGCUAACGCAUUAAGCAUUCCGCCUGGGGAGUACGACCGCAAGGUUGAAACUCAAAGGAAUUGACGGGGGCCCGCACAAGCGGUGGAGCAUGUGGUUUAAUUCGAAGCAACGCGAAGAACCUUACCAGGUCUCGACAUCUUUUGAUCACCUGAGAGAUCAGGUUUCCCCUUCGGGGGCAAAAUGACAGGUGGUGCAUGGUUGUCGUCAGCUCGUGUCGUGAGAUGUUGGGUUAAGUCCCGCAACGAGCGCAACCCUUAUGACUAGUUGCCAGCAUUUAGUUGGGCACUCUAGUAAGACUGCUGGUGACAAACCGGAGGAAGGCGGGGAUGACGUCAAAUCAUCAUGCCCCUUAUGACCAGGGCUACACACGUGCUACAAUGGAUGGUACAACGAGUUGCGAGACCGCGAGGUCAAGCUAAUCUCUUAAAGCCAUUCUCAGUUCGGACUGUAGGCUGCAACUCGCCUACACGAAGUCGGAAUCGCUAGUAAUCGCGGAUCAGCACGCCGCGGUGAAUACGUUCCCGGGCCUUGUACACACCGCCCGUCACACCAUGAGAGUUUGUAACACCCGAAGCCGGUGGCGUAACCCUUUUAGGGAGCGAGCCGUCUAAGGUGGGACAAAUGAUUAGGGUGAAGUC